RNAcentral lists this RNase P RNA (467 nucleotides) under Nitrospirota bacterium. RNAcentral's name for it is "Nitrospirae bacterium (sediment metagenome) RNase P RNA component class A". It matches the Rfam family "Bacterial RNase P class A". From Rfam's summary of the family: Ribonuclease P (RNase P) is a ubiquitous endoribonuclease, found in archaea, bacteria and eukarya as well as chloroplasts and mitochondria. Its best characterised activity is the generation of mature 5'-ends of tRNAs by cleaving the 5'-leader elements of precursor-tRNAs. Cellular RNase Ps are ribonucleoproteins. The record is from RNAcentral. Lineage: Bacteria; Pseudomonadati; Nitrospirota.
AGAGCAGGACGCGUGGUCGCCCGACGCUCCUGUGUCAAACGAACAGCGGCGUGUCCGACCGGGGGUGUGUUUAUCCCGGGUCAUGACCGCCCCGCUGGAUUGUGCGAUGCAGGAUCGUGCGGGAGGAAAGUCCGAGCUCAGCAGGGCAAGGCGGUCGUUAGCAACGACUGGGGGUGACCUUAAGGAAAGUGCCACAGAAAGGGAAACCGUCUCGGCAUUCGUCGGGAUAAGGGUGAAAAGGUGAGGUAAGAGCUCACCAGAUGGGGUGGCGACAUCCCAUGCUUGGAAAACCCCGCCUUGAGCAAGGUCGAAUAGGUUCCGCUUUGAGAACUGCCCAUUCGAAUCUCCGAGCAGCCCGAGGCUGAAGGAGAGGCGGAACGGGUAUUGACCGCACGAGCGUGGCAGUAAUGCCGCGCCACAGAUGAAUGACCACGGGUACAGAACUCGGCUUACGGCCUGCUCUGACA